Alligator sinensis (Chinese alligator) is the source of this 630-nucleotide long non-coding RNA. RefSeq lists it as uncharacterized. The transcript is spliced from 3 exons. NCBI's taxonomy places the organism in Eukaryota, Metazoa, Chordata, Crocodylia, Alligatoridae. The record is from RefSeq and is a predicted model, not a curated record.
AGUUCAGACCUACUGCUAGAACAACUGGCCGUAGAAAUUUUACCCCUUUCUCCAGGGACCUUUCUGGAAUUAUCUUGAAUUUGAAGAUUCCUGACAUCCUCAGUCUUGAUGAUCAUCAUAAAUCUCUAUGUUCAGAUCUAAGCCACAGCUACUCUCAACAACUGGACUAGUGGGGCUGCAGUUUCCUGCAACAUUACAAAACCCAACACCUUGGAAUGGCUGGAGUAUGGGAGAUCCAGGCUGCUGUGACAUUUUCUUCCCAGUGUCUUCAGCAGGAACUCCAAUGUAUCCUGAUAUGGACCCUAUGAAAAAAAACCACAGAGACUCAACCUGCACUCAAGAAUACCAAAAGUAGAGGAAAACAGUAAAUACACAUCAGCAAAGAUGGCCCAUUUAUUCAAGUGUCAUGAACUAUAAUAUUUUUGGAAUGCAUCAUAAAAAAUAUGCAAUCUCCAAUAUCUUAAAAUGAUAUGCUUCAGAAAAUGCAUGAGUGCUUAAAAAGAAUAAACUGCAAAAAAUCUGUAAAAUUAUGGUAGUUAUAGCUCACAUAUACAAAUGAGAUUAUAACAUGAGUAAUUUGGUUACAGGAAUCAAAGCUAUUCCAACACAAAAGGGUUUAAAUAUUUUUAC